UGAAUAAGCCACAGCAUGUGUAAGUAUAAAAAGUAAACUCAGAAACUGCGAAGGGCUCAUAAUAUCAGUUAUAGUUUAUGCGAUGAAGAAUACUAAUAGGAUAACCGUAGUAAUUCGAGAGCUAAUACAUGUAUAAAGUCUUGUAGACGGCAUUAAUAUAAAUGAAAACAAUAGGUUUCGGCCUAUUCGUGAGUAAUAAUAACUAAUCAUAUCGUAUGCUUAAGUAACGAUGUGUCUUUCAAGUUUCUGCCCUAUCACUUUUUAUGGUGGUGUAUUGGACUACCAUG
Molecule: ribosomal RNA, 287 nt
Filed under: Blastocystis sp.
Lineage: Eukaryota; Bigyra; Opalinata; Blastocystidae
Description: partial small subunit ribosomal RNA
Rfam family: Eukaryotic small subunit ribosomal RNA
Source: RNAcentral